Molecule: small nuclear RNA, 106 nt
Organism: Marmota marmota marmota (Alpine marmot)
Lineage: Eukaryota; Metazoa; Chordata; Mammalia; Rodentia; Sciuridae
Source: Ensembl
CAGCUACGUUUGUCAGCCCACAUAGUAAAAUUGAAAUGAUUCAGAGAAGAUUAGCAUGGCCCCUAGCAAGGAUGAUAUGCAAAUUCACACAACUUUCCAUAUUUUU